UGGUAAGAAAUCUAUUAGCCUGACUUUAAUAGCCUCCAGGUCUUUAGAAGAUGUUUCGAACUAAAGUAUAUUGUGAGUAAGUGGAAACCAGAGUCCUAACACAUAUGUUAUCUACAGACAGUUUGAAUUUGGCAGACCCAACAUCCUUCCCUGUCAGGAGAGGCAAAUGAGACACAGGCACUGUAACCUUUACUGAGGCUUUAGGUGGCAUUUCCAACAAUUGCUUCCCAUCUCGACAUCACAAGUACUCCCUAGCACUGAGAACAAUUGUACAUUGAUGACAUUUGCAAGUGACGCCAGCUUUGUAGGCCUCACCAGGACAGCAGGGGACUGUAAUAUCAUGCAGAAAGCUGGAAAAAACUGUUUAGCUGAGGAACCAAUCAAUAAUACUGCUCAGAGCAAAUGCUUAUCUGCAUCCUGUUUGAGAUUGACACGGGAGGUAUUAAUAUUGUAUGUGCUUGUCUAGUGGAUAAAAUAAUCGAGCACCAUCAAAAUGCAAAGCAGCUCCUGCAACUUUGCUUUCUCCAGCAGUGAAAUCUGCUUUUCCAUCUGAAUUCCCUUUCUCCUGCAAUGCCAUCUAGAGGAAACCAGGCAGAUGAAAAGGAGGGCAGAGACCAAGGGAUGAGAAGGCAGCAGUUGUCGGGUGAAGACGAAACUUCCCCCAGACCUAGCUAAUGAAAUGAAUUAGGCUUUCCAAUCUAUGAAGCCAUUAGAAGAAGGGCAAGCCCUGGCUCGGAUGCCUUGCUGGGACUGGCAUAGCAGCUCGCACCCGAGCAGCGGGUGACUCAGCAAGAGGAUUUCCCACGGCACCUUUCUAAGAACUGCACUGCUUCUGUGCUACGGGUCUCUGGCUGCCGAAGGGAGAUGCAAUUCAUGAGGAUUUCUGCAAUUUGCAUCUGCAAACAAGUGAAAGAAAAGCUUAAACAUCCCAGAUUUGACAGGAGAUAUAAAGGAAAAAGAAAAAUCGGGAACUAACAUUUGCAGUGAAUUACAGAUGCCUCCGGGCAAACCAGCACAGCGCCAGGAAUUUGGCUAGGGAAGUCUGGACCCUGAUUUUCACCCUCACCUGCAUGCUCCUUGCUGGGACCUUGGGCACUAAUUCAGCUCCCUAUUAACUUCCUCUCAGAGGGGUCGUUUGUGAAGGACUAAGACUUUGAGACAUCCAGAUGACAGCACAUCUGCACGCCCAGCAAUACGCUGUUCUGGCAGCUUCAGCCCUGUUCCGUAUGGCAUCAGGCACUGCAGCCACUGUCCCUUAACUCCACAGGGACUAACAUGAGAACAAGCAGGAUUAAAACUUAAGCAAUAAGCUUGCCACAUGGAAUAUAGAAUAAUAUUGGAAAUGCAUCACCCCUUUCGCCUAAACAGAAUUUAAACCGUUUUUCUCAGAUCACAGCUCCCAUAUACUAUUAAUACAGAUGUUCCUACCUGAGGGCUCAAGCUUUAUCCUUGGAGUUUCCCCUCACUUUAAAAAAAGUAUCAGUCACUCAGGGUGGGGAACAAAAAAAACACACACAACCAAUUCUUAGAUUUUGGGGAAACAAAACAGUUCAAAAUACUUUGUUUUGACAAAUGAUGGCUGUAUUUUUACCCUUGAAGCCUAAAGGACAUUUUAAAGCCAUAAGCUUGAUGAAAUGAGCAAUAAGGCCAUAUUACCACAUCUUGAUGCUUUUAAUAAAAGAUCCAACUAAAAGAAAAAUAUGGUAUUU
Molecule: long non-coding RNA, 1709 nt
Filed under: Anser brachyrhynchus (Pink-footed goose)
Lineage: Eukaryota; Metazoa; Chordata; Aves; Anseriformes; Anatidae
Description: lncRNA (ENSABRG00000008657.1)
Source: RNAcentral